GAGAGGGUCUGUCAGUGCUGAGAGGCUGAGGGAGUUGGGAAUGGAGCGGGACUGGGUGAGCACCAACUAAGAGGAAUGGCUACUCACCACACAGAGGGAGAGCAGGCCUCCAGGAGGCUCAGGGCUGGCCCCACAGCGCAGGCGCAAGGGAAGAGCCCCAUGCCAGUCUUCCACAACUGAACACUUUCCUCUUUCCACAGUGGCCUCUGACCCCAGGCAUCUCAGGAACAAGGUGAGUCUCCCCUUCUGCAUGCCCUCCCGCACCCCCAGGCCCACCCUGGUCCUCACGCAUGUGCUCUUGCCUCCUAGGGUUCCCCUAUCAUCUACUCUGAAGUUAAGGUGGCAUCAACCCCGGUUUCCGGAUCCCUGUUCUUGGCUUCCUCAGCUCCUCACAGAUGAGUCCAUACGUCUCUCCAACUGCUGUUUCAGCCUCUGCACCCCAAAGUUCCCCUUGGGGGAGAAGCAGCAUUGAAGUGGGAAGAUUUAGGCUGCCCCAGACCAUAUCUACUGGCCUUUGUUUCACAUGUCCUCAUUCUCAGUCUGACCAGAAUGCAGGGCCCUGCUGGACUGUCACCUAUUUCCCAGUUACAGCCCAGACUGGCAGGUUUUUUAAUCCAGUGGCAAGGUGCUCCCACUCCAGGGCCCAGCACAUCUCCUGGAUUCCUUAGUGGGCUUCAGCUGUGGUUGCUAUUCUGAGUACUGCUCUCAUCACACCCCCACAGAGGGGGUCUUACCACACAAAGGGAGAAUGGGCCUUCAGGAGAUGCUGGGCUGGCCUAACAGCUCAGGUGCUCCUAAACUCCGACACAGAGUUCCUGCUUUGGGUGGAUGCAUUUCUCAAUUGUCAUCAGCCUGGUGGGGUUACUGCAGUGUGCUGCCAAAUGGGACAGCACACAGCCUGUGCACAUGGGACAUGUAAUGGGUCUCCCCACGGGGGCUGUAUUUCACACUCCUCCACCUGUCUCAAACUCUAAGGUCGGCACUUGACACCAAGGUAACUUCUCUCCUGCUCAUGUGUCAGUGUCUACCUGCCCAAGUAAGUGGCUUUCAUACACCAAGUCCCAAGUACUUCCCAUCCUAACAGAAGUAACCCAGCAAGUCAAGGCCAGGAGGACCAGGGGUGCAGACAGAACACAUACUGGAACACAGGAGGUGCUCAAUUACUAUUUGACUGACUGAAUGAAUGAAUGAAUGAAUGAGGAAGAAAACUGUGGGUAAUCAAACUGGCAUAAAAUCCAGUGCGCUCCCUAGGAAAUCCGGGAGGUAUUCUGGCUUCCCUAAGAAACAAUGGAAGAGAAGGAACUUGGAUGAGGAAACUGUUCAGCAAGAGGAAGGGCUUCUCACACUUUCGUGUGUUUGUGGAUCACCUGAGGAUCCUGUGAAAAUACAGAUACUGAUUCAGUGGGUCUGUGUAGAGCCUGAGACUGCCAUUCUAACAUGUUCCCAGGGGAUGCUGAUGCUGCUGGUCCUGGGACCGCACUGCAUGCAUGUGAGGCCCUGUAGGUCUCAGCAGAGGCCCAUGGAGAGGCAAUGUGUGGCUCUGGCUGCCCAGGGCCCAACUCGGUUCACACGGAUCGUGCUGCUCCCUGGCCAGCCUUUGGCCACAGCACCACCAGCUGCUGUUGCUGAGAGAGCUUCUUCUCUGUGACAUGUUGGCUUUCAUCAGCCACCCUGGGAAGCGGAAAGUAGCUGCCACUAUCUUUGUUUCCCCACCUCAGGCCUCACACUUUCCCAUGAAAAGGGUGAAUGUAUAUAACCUGAGCCCUCUCCAUUCAGAGUUGUUCUCCCAUCUCUGAGCAAUGGGAUGUUCUGUUCCGCUUUUAUGAUAUCCAUCACAUCUUAUCUUGAUCUUUGCUCCCAGUGGAUUGUACAGUGAUGACUUUUAAGCCCCACGGCCCUGAAAUAAAAUCCUUCCAAGGGCAUUGGAAGCUCACUCCACCUGCCACAUGGCUUUUCAUGCUUCCAAGUGUCAGGGCCUUGCCCAGAUAGACAGGGCUGGCUCUGCUGCCCCAACCUUUCAAGGAGGAAACCAGACACCUGAGACAGGAGCCUGUAUGCAGCCCAGUGCAGCCUUGCAGAGCACAAGGCUGGAGGCAUUUGUCAUCACUACAGAUAUGCAACUAAAAUAGACGUGGAGCAAGAGAAAUGCAUUCCCACCGAGGCCGCUUUUUUAGGCCUAGUUGAAAGUCAAGAAGGACAGCAGCAAGCAUAGGCUCAGGAUUAAAGAAAAAAAUCUGCUCACAGUCUGUUCUGGAGGUCACAUCACCAACAAAGCUCACGCCCUAUGCAGUUCUGAGAAGGUGGAGGCACCAGGCUCAAAAGAGGAAAUUUAGAAUUUCUCAUUGGGAGAGUAAGGUCCCCCCGUCCCAGAAUGAUAACGGCACAGUGGCAGAACAAACUCCACCCUAACGUGGGUGGACCUCGUCCAGUCUGUUGAAGGCCUGAAUAUAACAAAAGGGCUUAUUCUUCCUCAAGUAAGGGGGAACUCCUGCUUUGGGCUGGGACAUAAGUUUUUCUGCUUUCAGACGCAAACUGAAAAAUGGCUCUUCUUGGGUCUUGAGCUUGCUGGCAUAUGGACUGAAAGAAACUACGCUAUUGGAUCUCCUGGAUCUCCAGCUUGCUGACUGCAGAUCUUGAGAUAUGUCAGCCUCUACAGUCACAAGAGCUAAUUCAUUCUAAUAAACCAAUCUCUCUGUA
This 2697-nucleotide small RNA is filed under the name Pan troglodytes (chimpanzee). RNAcentral describes it as "processed transcript". The record is from RNAcentral. Lineage: Eukaryota; Metazoa; Chordata; Mammalia; Primates; Hominidae.